AGUACGUGUUUCAUUCUUAUGCAAUUACAGGAAGUUGCAUAAUUCACCAAAUGCUACGUUAAAUAAUAGUAAUGAGUGUCAUGUGUCCUUGUCAUGUGAAUUAGACAAAAGUGGCAUUAAGUGUUAUGGGUGAGUCAUAAAGCACAUAAAGUGCAUGGGGAUACGUUUAAGGCCAAGGAAGUGAAUGCCUUUUUGCAUUUACAAUUGCUGCACAUUACUUUCUACUUGGAGAAUUCCCAUUUUUACAUUGCUUCCAUUUUUGUUUCUUAAGAAACGUACCAGCACCCCUAAAUUAAACCAUUCUCUCUUAGCUAAUCAUUUUGUUUCUUAAGAAAAUUAGCAUUAACCAUGGCUGCCAAGAUCACGGCCAUGGCAGUCCACAAUAAGGCUCAAGAUUUUGAUAGCAAAAAAAUAAAAUAAAUAAAUAAAUAAUCUCCGAGGUGUUCUAAGUGUUUGAAGGAGCAGCAAGAUCAGAAGUUAAAGUUGAAGAAGAUGAAAUGGGCAAAUUGUGCAAGUUAUUGGAAGAUCUGUCCUAAUUAUAUUUGAGACAUGCGAGCUCGAGAAGUAGACGUUGGACGUUAGAUAGAGUUCAAGGUAGACAGGGAGGUGAGCUUGAUCCAGAUUCUUAGUAGCUGUCAGCUGAUUGAGAGCACUCAAUUGUUCGGAGCUGAAGAACGACAGCGUCAGACGAAAAUGACUAAUGAUAUUGGAAGCUACAAAGUACACAUGUAAGCAACGGUGCGAAAGAUGCAUGUCGGAUAAGGUAAGAAUACUGAAACAUGAUUAAAAUAUAAAGUUGGCGGAUGAAAGAGAAAAUAAAUAGAAAGGAAUAACGGGUACAGUUUGAGUUGGACGUGCGAGGUUAUUCCUCAAGUUUAUAAAUGUGUUAAAAGUGGUUCAUAUUUAAGUAAAUCAUGAUCUAGAAAAUAAGUACAUGAUUAAUUGGUUAAAGACAUUGAACUAAAAUGGAGGGAGAGGAAUUUAUUUGUUAUAUUAUUAGGUGAGGAUUAAAGUAGUUUAAGUAUUGUACUAUGGAUAAAUUUUGAUGUGGCAACACUCUAUAUACGUGGAAGCAUGGCAAAUAAAUUAAUAGUGACUCAAGACAUUCGUACAAAUGCCCACAAAGUUUUAUCUUUGGAUGCCAUUUCAGUGGUGGACCCCACGGCUAUGAUGGUGAAUAAUUUAAAUGGUCCUCAAUUGAUAUAUCAUUAUCUGUGUAAUUGAGUAAAUUGGGGAUCAUGAUAGAAGUAAAUAAAUCAAUUGAAAUGGCUGGAUAAUUUUUUUUGAAUGGGCAUAUGUCCGUGUGACUCAUGGCUAGGUGGCAGAAGGUUAAGGUGUGUUUGUGUUUAUAUAACUGAUGGCAGCCUUAAGUGAUUAUAAUUUAAGAGAUUGUGGACAGGAAAUUAUUUAAUAAUUGUAGUGGGAAACAAGUCUAUUAGUUAAAGAAUAAAGUGACAAGUGCCAUAAUCAACAUGACUACGUGUCUCCAUAAAAGUGAUUAAAUAUUUAAGUUAAAAAAAAAUAUGUGUGUAAUUGACUAAAUGAGGAAUGUGGUGGAGGAAUGAAUUAAUUUGUUAGUAAUGGAUAAGUGUAAAUGUAACACUUCCAGGAGGUACCAUUUUAAGGUAUUAGUGACUAAGCAAUUAAUUCAUUAGUGGUGACAUUUGAUAAACAAUUUUCUGAAGUGGUAUAAAGUUAUACGGGCCCCAAGGUCAACUAAGGGAACAAGUAAUUAAUUACAUGAGAUAAAGUGAAGCAGUUACAAUUAGCAUAAAGGGGACAGGUGUGAUAUUUUACAUGCUACGUGUGGGCAUGUCAAGCAAGCAAUAUAUGACUAAGACUAUUUGGUAGAAUUGGUGGCUGAUUCAAUGGAGAUAAUAAAGUCUAAUAAUAUCAAUGGGUUGGUUAAGUGGAUGGGCACCACUGGAAAGUAAACGUUGGACCCUUCACCAUUUUAUAUAAGUUUUAUAUAGGAAAAAUUCAUACAUAUGUAUGUAGCAGAUUGCAUUUUCAAAAUAUUACGAGAAUGGUUACUUAGAGAUCUGAAAUGCAUCAUAAUAAAUUGAAGGGAGUCGACCAACGAAAGAGGCAUGUGAAGAACAUAAUCCAGUAAAAGAACAUUUAAGGAAGUAUUGGGAGCGCAGGGCUAAUUUAACAUUCGAGGACGAAUGUUCUAAAGGGGGGAAGGAUGUUACAUCCCGUAUUUUCAUGUGUUGGAAAGGGUGCGAGUUAAAUGAUAUUAGUAACGAAAAUGAGGUUAUCCUCCCAAGUUUGUGGGUGGUUGUAGUAAUGAUACAGAUGUGUUAUAAAUAUUUGAAGUUAAACAAAUCUAAGAAAAUAAGUUUUGUCGAGGUUCGAAAUUUAUUUGAUGAAAUACGGUCCAAGCUAUAAUAUCCCGUAUUUUUUUACUAGAAAAAUUUAAUCGUCCAAUAUGAUCAAAAUUUACACGAGCACGGAGGAUUUGAUCAUAUUCAAGUAUGCAAAUUAAGAACUCGGUGUAUAAGAGGAUGAAGUCCCGAAAUGAUUUAAGACGGUAAAAAGUGACAUCGAUGAUUGGAAAUAAUAUUUUAUGUGUGGCAAAAGAGGCCAUGAACUAGUGACAUAUCAUAGGAGCAUAAAAUGUGUAUAUAAGGUGUGCUAAAAAAAUGAUUAUUAUUUAAGUGAACUGAGAGCAAGAGACUAGUUAUGUGGAUAAAUUAAAAGUGGCCGAAGGUAGCGUGAAACAAAAAUGAUUAGUCAAAAUAUUUGGAUGAUGCUAUAGGACAACAUUUAUAUGCGGGUCCCACAAAGGGAUAAUCAUUAUAGGUAAUAUUGGACAAGGACAUAUGUUUGGUCCAAGGGCAGUACGUGUUUCAUUCUUAUGCAAUUACAGGAAGUUGCAUAAUUCACCAAAUGCUACGUUAAAUAAUAGUAAUGAGUGUCAUGUGUCCUUGUCAUGUGAAUUAGACAAAAGUGGCAUUAAGUGUUAUUGGUGAGUCAUAAAGCACAUAAAGUGCAUGGGGAUACGUUUAAGGCCAAGGAAGUGAAUGCCUUUUUGCAUUUACAAUUGCUGCACAUUACUUUCUACUUGGAGAAUUCCCAUUUUUACAUUGCUUCCAUUUUUGCUUCUUAAGAAACGUACCAGCACCCCUAAAUUAAACCAUUCUCUCUUAGCUAAUCAUUUUGUUUCUUAAGAAAAUUAGCAUUAACCAUGGCUGCCAAGAUCACGGCCAUGGCAGUCCACAAUAAGGCUCAAGAUUUUGAUAGCAAAAAAAUAAAAUAAAUAAAUAAAUAAAUAAUCUCCGAGGUGUUCUAAGUGUUUGAGGGAGCAGCAAGAUCAGAAGUUAAAGUUGAAGAAGAUGAAAUGGGCAAAUUGUGCAAGUUAUUGGAAGAUCUGUCCUAAUUAUAUUUGAGACCUGCGAGCUCGAGAAGUAGACGUUGGACAUUAGAUAGAGUUCAAGGUAUGUGAGGCUAGUCCUUUCUUUCUAUGGCAUGAAUCUUAUAGCUUGACUCUCUUUUUAUCCAUGAGUUUCCUUAAGUUCCGAAAAAUACGAGUCUAUGUCCAUAAUUAGCCACACAAGGUAAUGAGUAAAGUAUAGAAAUCCCAAUACUCAUGUUGUGAUGAUCCUAUGAUGUUAAUGAUGCUAUUUAUUGCUUACACUCACCUUAUAUGCUAAUUCCUUCAAGGUGAGACAGGAUGUCAAUGAAUGUUCCAUAAUGACGUCGGAAGCCACCCACCUUACGUCACUCCGAUAUAGCUAUGGCUUUUGAUUGGGCUCUUAUGCAUGCUUUAUAUAUAUACGUAUGUAUUUCCUCACACCGCGCCGCGCUAUAGUCGGCCGGGCAGGCACGUAGAUGUGCACACCACUAUAGUGGGCAGCUUAUACCCCGGACGCGGGAGGCUGGACGCAGGCUAUGAUUAUCACACCGCUCCUACCUGGACGGGCAGCUUAUACAUUAUCACACCGUACCUAUAUGGACGGGCAGCUUAUAUGUGUAUACAUACAUGAUAAUGAUUAUGAGUAGACAGGGAGGUGAGCUUGAUCCAGAUUCUUAGUAGCUGUCAGCUGAUUGAGAGCACUCCAUUGUUCGGAGGUGCUUAUGUUUAUUCUUUUGGCUCCUUUAUGUAUUUCGCGCACGACGGAGUCUUGUUCCAUCUAUAUGUAUAAUAUGUCAAUAGAGGCUCGUAGACGCGCAGUGUGGGUUAGAUGGUCUCACAAGAUUAUUAUGUUAUAUUUGUAUAUGUUAUUUUGAUAGCCUAAGGGGCACAUGUAUAAUAAAAUCAUUUGUGUUGUCAAAUGAAAAAUGGUUGUCUUAUGAUUAUGAGAUUAUGAAUGAUAAAGAAAUGUAAAAUGGUUAUGACGAGUGAGGAAACGAGCGGUGCUAGGUGGUUAGUCCCGGGUACCCGUCGCGGCCCUAGUCGGGUCGUGACAAAGUUAGUUAUGAAUGAAAGCUCCCUUAUCAUGUAAACUAUAUUGUCAACAUAUUUUAUGAAGAUGAGAGUAUGAAAUCCACGUAC
This is a long non-coding RNA of Lycium barbarum (goji berry), 4498 nucleotides long. RefSeq lists it as uncharacterized. The record is from RefSeq and is a predicted model, not a curated record. NCBI's taxonomy places the organism in Eukaryota, Viridiplantae, Streptophyta, Magnoliopsida, Solanales, Solanaceae. The transcript has 6 exons.